CAGAUCCAAGCCAUGUCUGCGACCUACACCACAGCUCAUGGCAACACUGGAUCCUUAACCCACUGAGCAAGGCCGUGGAUCGAACCUGCGUCCUCAUGGAUACUAGUCAGAUUCGUUUCUGCUGUGCCACACGGGGCCUUGAAAUACGGUUGGGGUCUGAAUAUGGAACAGUGCAGAGAAGAGGGACGGGCACCCCACAUGGAUGAGCAGUGAGAAAAAGAGCUUGGUGGAAAGAGUGGGGGCGCGCCUGGGGACGGCAAGGAAGCCGGGUCCAGGAGGCAGAGGAUGUGCGGGGAAGGCGGAAGAUGUGGUUGACUGAGAGGUGGCCAUGGGAAGCUCGAGUGAACCACAUCGAAGCCCUCCGUCUAGCGUCGCUUUGCAGUCGUGUGUGUGUGAUUACUGUCCACCCAUCCAUAGGGCCACCCCGCUACCCUGUGAGCACAGGGGCAUAUGUUUUAUCAUGGACACUGGUAUGUGUAAAGACUUGCGUGUGCCAGACACACCUGGCUCAAAUGGGAGUGCAGCUCUUCCUCAGUUUUGUGUAAUUGCUGGUCACUGAGCUCCAGCGGAGAGCCAUGCCUGGCACUCUGAGACUGACACGCUACCUGCUGUGCUAACAAGGCACCUCAAUGCCUGGCACUAGAUGCUGGAGCGUGAGGACAAACAGGUUGAGAUCUAAAAAGUAAGACUUGGACUGGGGCUGUCCUUAGACUCACCUGAGUCCUUCAGACCUUCCUUCCUGCAGAACCUGGGGAGAUGUUGGGCUGAAGACUGAGGAUGCAGACACCGCGUCUGCCAUCUUCGUCCCAGCAGCUUCCACGCCAAUGCUGAGCUGCCACUGUUCUGCCUUGGGGCCAGACGAAAGGCCGUGUUCUCAUCCAGCGCCCCCUCUGAAAAAGCAGUUUGGUACCUUCUUAUAUACACCCACAAGGCUGGCCCCAGAUUGCAAGGAAUAUUCAGAAGUGGUUUUCAAUGAUAACAUCCAGCUAACUCCUCUAAACCCAGGAGGCCUGGAGGCUGUUUAUCUCAAGGAAGAUGCCUGGAGCCUUCCCCCCGGACAUAAAUGGAGGAUCCCAGAACGUGUGAACAUGCAUCCUCUGACUGGGUACCGGUCAGCUGUCCCCCCGCCCCCACCACCAGGCACAGGAACCAAGGCAGAGGGCGGGAGGCAGGAGAGGCCAAAGUCCUUACCUGCUUCUGAGCCCAGGUUUUCCUGGCAGAGCUGGGAAGCGGGAAGUAUCUCCCUACCUGCCUCUAGCCCUGAGAUGCUGAGAAGGAAGCCAGGACCCCGAGGGAGGCUUUGGAUCUCUGCAGGACUGUGCCUGUGCCAUCUCUGGCACCAGUCUUUACUGAGCCCCCAGCAGGUUACCGUAGCAUCCAGUCUGGUCUGGCCUGGCACCUAAGAGAUUGGGUUUUAAAACGAGGGCCUAUCUACAAAAAAUAAAGUAAUAGUGACAGCUAAAUUUAUCAAGUAGUUACUCUGUUCCAGGUGUGGUGCUAAGUGUUUGCUUUGCAUUCGCUCAUUUAAGCCUCCCCGUGACUCUGGAAUAAUUGUGGGAUUGUUUGACAGCUGAGGAAACUGAGUCACAGAGAGACAUGGUCUCUUUCUGAAAUCACUCGGCCAGUAACAGGUGGAAGUGGACAUUGAACCCGUCUGCCUCCAGAGCUUGUACGCCUCAGGGAAGUCGGCCCCGGGGGGUGUGUAGGAGCCACCAGAGGUCAGAGCAGAGAGGUCAGCUGCUGACCAGCCGGACUCUGAGAUCCGGUUUCUCGCUGUUGGAGCCGGCUGCCCCCACUGCUUCAGGGAGGGGACUGCUGCCCUGCUGUAUGAGCCACCUUUGCCAGGAGGAUUAGCUUCUUCCUCGUGUCAAAACAAGCCAAGCAGGAAAAAAAUCAACAACCAACUCCCGACUUCCAGCAGCAAGAGCCCUGCAUCCUGUCCAGCAGGAGGGAGCUCUCCGCUGCGGAGGGGGUCGACUGUCCUAGACCACGUCCUGGUUGUGGGCGUGUGCCGAGAGGGACCCCGAGACCCCCGGGUUUCCAGGUCGGGGCCCCGAGGCCCUGCCAGUGCACAGUCCCUGGCAGCAGCCCUUCUCCUCUGCUCCCCAUCCAGCCCUGUGACGUCUGCUGAUAUCCCGUCCUGCCACGGGCUUGCUCUGCGUCCACGGCGAGCCCAGUGACCGUUUGCAGGGUAAGGACAUUGGAUGUGAGCAGUGGUUUUCAAAACAAAAUGUUUCUUUGUUGCAAAGGAACAUGUUCUUCAGAUGAAACAACUUCUGCUAGAAUAGCAAACAGUCUAAAGCAGAGGUGUCAGUUUUCGUAAAAAUAAACAAGGGCCAAAAACCUUGGGUCAGUCAAAAUUCUCUGCAAAUGGUUCCCUGAGCCUGACUGGAUCUCCUUUUGCCACUCCUGCCCCCUUUGGUGGCCUUUGCACCUUCUGGCUUGAUUGGAAGUUGUGGAUUCUUCGGAGCCCCCUCAGCUUCCUCCAUGGAGCCUCAGUGCGUCGUGGUUCCAGCUGCAUUUAUUAACCAUUUUAAUCGUUGGGCUCCCCCGAACUGCCUGGUGGUAGCUUCAGAGAAUGUGUGUGUAUAUUUGCAUACUACACAUGGUAUUUGCAUAGAUGAUGUAUGCAGACAGCAUAUAUUUGCAUAUGCAUUUAUGUAUAUGUGUGUAUCCGUGGGAACAUAUGUGCGUAUGCAUGUGCGUGUCACAUACGGAGAGAGCCUUUGGAGAGAGGCCAUGUCUUUGUGUCCCUCAGCACCUGGUCAGCAGUAGGCCCGCAGGAGCGUUUCGAUCGCGGGGGUCUUCUGCGUCCUCAGAACAUCUUCUUGCCCAUGUCAGGUGCUCAGUAAAUACUAGCGUCGAAUGAUUGGGUGACUUGGCAGGUCAUACCUGGAAAGUCUUGGCUAUCAAUCUUGGGUCUUGCCAUGUACUUGCUGUAAAAUCGGGGUAAAUAUUCAUCACUUGUCUUAACCAUCGGGUGGGGAUGACAGCGCAUGCCUGCCGCAACUGCUGAUGGAAUGCCUGCCACAGUCCAGGCACGCCUCUCAGCAGUUUACAAAGCAGACAGAGGUCCUUGUCCUCAUGGAGCUCACAUUUCAGCCAGAUUCGAGAAGAGCCCCUCUCCCGCCCCCGACCCCGAGUUGCUGGGAGAAGAGGAGGAGGAAAGGGUCCCUCCUGCUUGGUCAGAGGCAGAGCCACAACCUGGGUUGGGACUGCCACAGGAUGGAGGGGCGCUGGUGGCCUGUGUGGGACACAGGACUCUCAGCGCGGAGUUUACGCCAUGAGAGAAGAGGAGGAGGAAAUGCCAUCGGGGCUGAGCUGGAAGGGUAGCAAGUCUCUCUGCCUCCCCAGGCACCUGCUCUGACUGACCCUGAGGCUGUGCCCCCCGCCCCCAGUCAGCACCACGUGGAGCUGCCCUCGUCUGAGGGCUGCAGCCCCAGAGCCCUGCUGCCUCCAUGCCUCUCUUUUCUAGUGGCAUCUCUUUUACCCAUUUCCAGGGCAUCGCUCUGGGAAAUAGAGAGAGGAGGCUUUGGCCCUGGUCACCUCUGGCUGCCCUGCUGGCCCUCGGAGCCGCAUGUUCAUGGAGGUUUGUCCCUCACCGAGGAUGAUUUCGAGUGAGUUUUACUUGAUCUUGGCUCUGCUUUAGUGCCCUCGUCUAUAAGGUGGGACUGGUAAUAAUUGCACUUACCUCAUGGAGUUAUUGAAAGGAUUAAAUGAGCCUGUAAAGUGCUUAAAAUAGUAUCUGGCUCAGAGUAAGUGCUCUGUCUGUUCAUGCUGGAUGGCUGGAUGCAUUUGUGUAGUGGCGGUGGGCCUGUCUGCUUGGCCCUGUGACCACGAGCUCGCCGUGGGCAGGACACAUCCCACGUGUCCCUAUAGUCUCAGCACCUAGCCCGGUGCCUGGCACACGGUAGGCAUGCCGCAAAUACACGUUAUGAGAACAGUGACCACUCUGGGAACCCUCACAUGCCACAGGUGUGG
RNAcentral lists this long non-coding RNA (3981 nucleotides) under Sus scrofa (pig). RNAcentral describes it as "lncRNA (ENSSSCG00035013760.1)". The record is from RNAcentral. Lineage: Eukaryota; Metazoa; Chordata; Mammalia; Artiodactyla; Suidae.